Molecule: transfer RNA, 72 nt
Filed under: Cordylochernes scorpioides
Lineage: Eukaryota; Metazoa; Arthropoda; Arachnida; Pseudoscorpiones; Chernetidae
Description: tRNA-Gly
Rfam family: tRNA
About the family: Transfer RNA (tRNA) molecules are approximately 80 nucleotides in length. Their secondary structure includes four short double-helical elements and three loops (D, anti-codon, and T loops).
Source: RNAcentral
ACUAUCGGUGGUUCAUUGGUGGAAUGCUCGCCUGCCACGCGGGCGGCCCGGGUUCGAUACCCCGCCGAUGCA